UCUACACAAGCCGACUAUCAUAUGAGUGUUAGAGGUAAAUCUGAGUGGAGAUUGAAGACCUCCAUCAUAGGUUAUGUUUGCAUAGCGAGGAAAGGAAUGAUGUAUAAUACUUCUGUAGGAGAAUUAACUUGUCUAGGGCAAAAAGCUUAUGAUGAUGAUACAAAGAAUACAACUUGGUGGUCGGCUUCAAAUGUCUCAGAACCAUCUAACCCGCUUGCAAGAUAUGCC
Pelobates cultripes (western spadefoot toad) is the source of this 228-nucleotide non-coding RNA. Lineage: Eukaryota; Metazoa; Chordata; Amphibia; Anura; Pelobatidae. The record is from the annotation of a GenBank genome assembly.